GACGAACGCUGGCGGCGUGCUUAACACAUGCAAGUCGAACGGUGACCCAGGGCUUGCCCUGGUGAUCAGUGGCGAACGGGUGAGUAACACGUGGGCAACCUGCCCCCUGACUUCGGGAUAACUCCUCGAAAGAGGAGCUAAUACCGGAUACGACCACUUCGGACAUCCGAUGGUGGUGGAAAGUUUUUCGGUCAGGGAUGGGCCCGCGGCCUAUCAGCUAGUUGGUGGGGUAAUGGCCUACCAAGGCGACGACGGGUAGCCGGCCUGAGAGGGCGACCGGCCACACUGGGACUGAGACACGGCCCAGACUCCUACGGGAGGCAGCAGUGGGGAAUAUUGCGCAAUGGGCGAAAGCCUGACGCAGCGAC
RNAcentral lists this ribosomal RNA (368 nucleotides) under uncultured bacterium. RNAcentral describes it as "bacterial SSU rRNA". It matches the Rfam family "Bacterial small subunit ribosomal RNA", at positions 28 to 395 of the family's 1533-position model. The record is from RNAcentral.